AGGGCUGGAGAGAUGGUUCAGUGG
This 24-nucleotide non-coding RNA is filed under the name Cricetulus griseus (Chinese hamster). Lineage: Eukaryota; Metazoa; Chordata; Mammalia; Rodentia; Cricetidae. The record is from RNAcentral. RNAcentral also lists the same sequence under 1 other name.